UUGGCUGGAGAGCAUGAGAAAAGACCCAAAUGCGUGACUGUCACUCUCAAUGUGUGACACUUGACAGCCCAGUGGGUGUUAGUAGUUGCAACUUCCUGUUUCUCAGUAAAGUAUUAUUAGUUCUGUAAAAGAAGCUCCAUCUUGCUUUUGUAGUCGUUCAUCACUCAGGUCCAAGAUCUCCAUCAAGUACAGAGAGAGGAUUGUUCUCUGGACAAAAUGAGAAUACAGGUCAUUUUUGGAGUCCUGUUGAUUUACACCCACGUUGUCAUGGGUUCACUGUUUCAGGAUCAUGUUGUCUGUAGAUUUACUCAGAUUAAUCAGUGUUAUGUAGCUAUGGGACAACGACUGCACCUGCAAAUGCUGCUGGAGGAUGGGUUUGACCUAAAGGCCACUAGUUUAAUUUUAAAAUAUA
Tachysurus fulvidraco (yellow catfish) is the source of this 412-nucleotide long non-coding RNA. RefSeq lists it as uncharacterized. Lineage: Eukaryota; Metazoa; Chordata; Actinopteri; Siluriformes; Bagridae. The record is from RefSeq and is a predicted model, not a curated record. The transcript has 2 exons.